AGGACGAACGCUGGCGGCGUGCUUAACACAUGCAAGUCGAACGGUGACCCGGAGCUUGCUCCGGUGAUCAGUGGCGAACGGGUGAGUAACACGUGGGCAACCUGCCCUUGGCUCUGGGGAUAACUCCGAGAAAUCGGGGCUAAUACCGGAUAUGAAGUCGGAAGGCAUCUUCUGACUUGGAAAGUUUUUCGGCCAAGGAUGGGCCCGCGGCCUAUCAGCUUGUUGGUGGGGUAAUGGCCUACCAAGGCGACGACGGGUA
RNAcentral lists this ribosomal RNA (259 nucleotides) under uncultured bacterium. RNAcentral's name for it is "partial small subunit ribosomal RNA". It matches the Rfam family "Bacterial small subunit ribosomal RNA", at positions 26 to 285 of the family's 1533-position model. The record is from RNAcentral.